Molecule: ribosomal RNA, 468 nt
Filed under: uncultured bacterium
Lineage: Bacteria
Description: partial 16S ribosomal RNA
Rfam family: Bacterial small subunit ribosomal RNA
Source: RNAcentral
GACGAACGCUGGUGGCGUGCUUAACACAUGCAAGUCGAACGGAAAGGCCCUGCUUUUGUGGGGUGCUCGAGUGGCGAACGGGUGAGUAACACGUGAGUAACCUGCCCUUGACUUUGGGAUAACUUCAGGAAACUGGGGCUAAUACCGGAUAGGAGCUCCUGCUGCAUGGUGGGGGUUGGAAAGUUUCGGCGGUUGGGUAUGGACUCGCGGCUUAUCAGCUUGUUGGUGGGGUAGUGGCUUACCAAGGCUUUGACGGGUAGCCGGCCUGAGAGGGUGACCGGCCACAUUGGGACUGAGAUACGGCCCAGACUCCUACGGGAGGCAGCAGUGGGGAAUAUUGCACAAUGGGCGGAAGCCUGAUGCAGCAACGCCGCGUGCGGGAUGACGGCCUUCGGGUUGUAAACCGCUUUCGCCUGUGACGAAGCGUGAGUGACGGUAAUGGGUAAAGAAGCACCGGCUAACUACGUG